Molecule: ribosomal RNA, 249 nt
Filed under: uncultured Gardnerella sp.
Lineage: Bacteria; Bacillati; Actinomycetota; Actinomycetes; Bifidobacteriales; Bifidobacteriaceae
Description: partial 16S ribosomal RNA
Rfam family: Bacterial small subunit ribosomal RNA
Source: RNAcentral
UAGAGUAAUGCGUGACCAACCUGCCCCAUGCUCCAGAAUAGCUCUUGGAAACGGGUGGUAAUGCUGAAUGCUCCAACUUGACGCAUGUCUUGUUGGGAAAGUGUUUAGUGGCAUGGGAUGGGGUCGCGUCCUAUCAGCUUGUAGGCGGGGUAAUGGCCCACCUAGGCUUCGACGGGUAGCCGGCCAGAGAGGGCGGACGGCCACAUUGGGACUGAGAUACGGCCCAGACUCCUACGGGAGGCAGCAGUG